UGAGACCUCUCUCUACCUGGGGCUUUCUGAAGAUUAAACCAGUUAGAUGUCAGUCAUAGAAGAGAAGAUGUUAACAGAAGGUUGUGUUACAAUUAAGUAGGAAAGAGAAGAACUGGACCAAAAAAGAGAAAAGCAGGAGGGCUUCCUUGCUGAUUUGCUUCUCUAGUUUCCAAGCCUUCCAGUGGCACUGCACACACAUGUAUGCAAUGGAUUUGAACCUGGAGUUCGAAGCGCUCCCCUCCAGCAGCAGCAGAAGGGCUGCAGACAAUUUCAUGGAGCUGAGCAGGACAGCAAUAAAUGCUGCAGUGUUCUGCAGUGACCCCUCGGAGCCACCUGGAGGUGGUUUGGGCCCAUGGGAGGCAGAGGAAGUUCUGAAAAACAAAGGUGAGAAGCUGUAUGCAAUUCCUCAAUUCCAGCGUCCUGUGCUGGCUUCUAAAAGUCAUCACUGAAUGCUGUUUGAGGUAGAAGAGAAGCUUUUUAGAGAAGUGGAAGAUUUGUGCUGAGACCCCACUGGUGUGCUUUGGUUGUCCUAACCUGAACUGCAUUGUUCCUUCAGUGCUGUGCCAGCACACCCAUCGGCACAGGGGAGGAAAGAGGCAGAAAUAUGGCUCAUGAGGAGGACAGUUCUGUAGGUCUGUGCUAUUAAUUGUGCUAAGGCAUUAGUGUAGGACCAUGGCAAAUGCAACAGAUCUGUGUGCUGGGCAGGAAUCCCAAACCUUUGGGAAGGACACCAAAGAAGUCAAAUUAAAGCAAAACCAGAAGGUAGAGUGAACUCUCCACUGACACUGAAGGAAAACUCAGUAUGAGCAAGCCAGGAAACCAUGUGCUAACAAUGAAACCAGGCACCAGCACCACGGUGAAGGCAUCUUAGCCUCUGAGAAUGGCAUCUUUCCAUCCUGGAAAGAAGACAUCUGUGCAGGAAGGAGCUGAUGGGAGGCUGUGAGACCUCCUGAGGAGCUGGCAGAGGCAGGCUGUGCCUGCUCCAGCAGCACCCUCCUGCAGGGCCUGCACGGUGAGGAUGCUGUGCUCUGUGCAGUGCAUGCCUGCAGCCCGGGAGCUCUCCUUGCACCUGGAGCCUGGACUGCAGCCUGGCUGUCACUCCUUGGUGGUGUGUUGGUGGCUCCCAGGCAGUGUGAAGCUGAAUCAUAGCAGCGAGGAUGGGAGGAGGACGAUGAAGGAGGAAUGAAAAUCCUGGCAAGAGAAGAGCUCUGAACGUCUUUGAUGGGCAGUGAAUACAGCUGCACAGCAGCUCCCACCUCUCUGCAUCGAAGGAGUGAAACAAUGGCAGUGGGACCAUGUGGCCUCCUGAGAAAUGGAAAUCUCACUGUCGCUGUUAAUAAAUGGAUUGGGGGCUGAUUUUAAACCAGAAGCAAGCUCUGCAGGCAGGAGUCCUUUUUGCCUGCACUGUGCUGCUUUGAUCAGAUGGGUACAUUCAGUAAAGCAGCUCAGAUCCACUUUCUUCAGCAGCUUUUGACAGGAGGUGACAAUCCAGCAGUGCCUUCCAGGGUUUAUUCUUUCAGGAAAGUGAAAUCAUUCUGAGGUUUUGUUGAACCUCUGUCUCAGUGCUGCUACACCCCGGAGAAGACAACGGGGAAGUUUGCCAGCAUACAGCAGCGUGUCCUUGCAAGAACACUUGUAUUUUGCAUUAAUCUGGCUGAAAUGCUGUUAUAAUGAAGUCUGUCUGGGCACUUGCUGCUCUGUAUUGGGCGAUCCGCAGGGCUUGCAGCAGCCCGAGCUGUUACAAUAUUGCUGUUCCUGUUGCACUGGGGUUUGUGUCUGAUGGCAGUUCUGAUGAAACAGUUGCAAUUUCUGCUCCGCCUUGUGUAAAAUGGAUUCCCAUCAUGGGGAGGCAGAAAAGGGCUUCUCUGCAGCCGAGGAAGGAAUGGUUUCCAUUUGUGUUUGCAAUGCCUGGCAGUUAUGCCUGGCUGACCGAGUGAUCCCUGCCCUGUGCAAUGCAGGACAGGUGUGUUCUCUCAUGGCUGGGGCUGGCAGAGCUCACACAGGUGUUUGGGGGCCACAGCCACUGAGCCCUUGUGCUGCAGCACUGCUCCCAGCAGCAGGUGUUUGUCCCAUUCCCCUCCACCCUGUGGUGAGCUGCUCCUCCUCACGGUGCUCUGGGUGUUCGGUGCUCAUCAGGAGGGCACUGAGUGCAGCCCUUUGUGUCACUGAUGCUGAGCAUCGGCCGUGAGUCACUGCAGCACAGGGAUAAGCAGGCAUAGGGACAUGGAGGCUGUGAAUAAAUGUGUGAGGCUGGGAUAAACAGCACAGAUUGAACUUGAAUGAAGCUAAGACCAUCAGCAAAGACUUUAUACUGAUCGUGUGGGAACAUCCAGAUGCAAUGCAGAGCUCCUCUUCUGACAGAUAUUCCCUAGUCCUAACAUCCCUCAUUUCAGUUCGGAGUUGUACCUAUGCCCUCCUCUGAGGUUUCUCCAUUUGCUAACAGUGGAACAAAUAGUCCUAAAGCUUUACUUUAUUUUUUUCCUUCAGUUCUUCUGCACAAUUCUCUCAGGUCUUUCAGAAUUCUGGCCUCCUGCUCUGUUACUCUUGAGCAGUCCCACAGUCUGCACUUAGAAUCUGUGGUGAAAGACAGUGCAUCACUAUGCAAGAAUAUUUGUGACGUAGUGCUAUUAAAACCAACACUUGAGACUUAAUGGCCGUUUAAUCUCCACUUAUUUUUUGAAUUCUCUACAACCAUAAUGUUUUCCCCUCGAUGGAGCAAUAUUUGUGCUCCAUAUUUGCAUUCAAUUUGCAAAUUUGCAUUGCAAUGCAUUCAGUUGCCAUUUCAGAACAAAAGCAGGAAGGUGGCAUUACCUGCACAAAUGCUUUGCUCAUUGCUUCCAGAAGGAAAAAGCAGAGACAGCACAUAGCCAUAAUACUCACCUGCAACAAUCUCGACCUUUACUUUUAGUGGCACUUAUUGGUGCACGUCCACUGCUGAUGUAACUCUGCUGGGUGUGGGCUUCCUUCUUAUUGUGGCACCCAAAGUGAUGUUCAGAUAGAGUGUGGUGUUCCCAGAGGGGUGCCUGGCACAGAGCUGAGGGUGGGGCACUGCCAGCAAGCUGUGUGCUGUGCAGCUGAGCCAUGGAACUUUCCUCUAGAUCUACAAAUAUUACAAAGUGUUAUCUGAAAAUGAUCUGGAUUUCAGCUUUUUUUCCAAGGUUUACCAUCCCUUUUGCCUCUCCAUGAGAAGCAUGUAGAUAUCUGCUGUGGUUUGGCAGGGGUUGUUGGAGGACUGUGAGCUUCUGCCCUCCAUGCUCUGUUGGCCCACAGAGCCCAGGGUGCUGCCCUGGCUGAAGGAGUUGCACAUCUCUCUGUGGUGAGAAGGGGCCCCUCCAACUAUGCAGCACUUCUUGAGAUUUAUGUAGGAUUCAGACCUGGGCUUUGUCUCACUCUGCUUCAUCUUUCAUUUCUGAUGACAGAAUCGCCACUGCAGAUGCUAGCGACGAAAUGAGCUUUUGUGAUAUCUUAUUUUUGUAGAUGUUUCCUGAGAGCAGAAAGCUGAAAUUGUACCUUCUUACCUUCUGCUAUUGUAGUGUAAGUGGUGGCAUUGUUUCCUCUGUGACCUGUCCUGAAAGGCUACAGAAACGCCAGAAUUUUGCAAGCAGCAGUGCUGCCUGAAGUCAGCACUAUCCCAGCUGCUCAGCCUCACUCACAAGCUAGGAGUUCCACAGCUCUGUUGGCAGAUGGGGUCACACAAAUGCUGUUCCCUGAACACGACAUGUUGGGUUAUGCAGUGCUUCAGUGCUGAUCUGGGAGAGCAGAUCUGACCAGCUCCAGCUAACACAGCGAGGCCAGGAGAAUGUCCAUAAAUGGUCGCUGCCCUCGUCUGCAAACAAACAUUUCUUUAGUUUUUGGACGAUGUACAAAUACUGUAGAAACAAAACAGCAUUUCAAAGAGAUCAUAUUUCAUGGUUAAGUAAGAAUCUGAGAGCUCCAAAAGUCGAACCAUGGUUACAACACUGCCUGUGGUGUGCUUUUGUGCAUGACAAAGUUCUGGGUUCAUCAGCAGUCAGAGUACAUUCCUGAUGUUGGUACAAGGUAGGAGUUUGGCACGUCGAAGUUUUGUGUGCGGCAAUCAGACAGAACGAAUCCACCGUUCCCCAUUCUGCAGUGCGCUCCUGCCUGCUCUUCUCUCUAGCUGCAGUAGAUCUGUGCUGUUUGCUCAGCUGACACCACGCUUCCUGAAAAUGGUUCCUUCUAAUUUGAAACAGGCACAGCAGCAACAACGAUUACAAAAAACCCACCAUUCCCUCCAACCCUAUAAUCUUCUUGGCUGUAAUUUGAUUCUACGUUUUGCUCUGAUUUUUGAGAGUUUUGUAGUAUCACCCACAGUUCCAUGAAGGCUUUGCUGUAUGUAAAUACAGAAAGAGUGGAGAGGGAGUGGGAGCACUGGAAGAUGAUGGAAGAGAACACCGCUGACAUGAAGGUGCUCAAAGUCAGUCACAUCAAAACUGUUGGAUUUCCUGUCAUGGUGUGCUAAAUAGACGUGAUGUGUUGAAAGGGUGGCUGAAAGUGAGUUAUGAUGAUAUGGUCAUAAGCAAGAUAGGAAAUCAUCAGGCCCAGAAGUCUUUGGAACCAGUUCCGUGGAAACCUUUAUCAAUAUUUUUGGUGAAAUGUUUCAGAUGGGAAUUCAGUUUCUCUGUUCUUGGCUUGGCUGUGUUCAAUGUGUCCUUUAAUGUACUGUGGGAUGAAAUGAGAAAUGUAUUAAAACUGCAGCUGCAGAAACUGGAAAGCCUGGCAGAUGGUAAAAGGCAUUAUUAGAGUUCUUAAUGCUCUUGACAAAUAGGAAGAAUGAUUGGAAAGCUGUAGGAUGCAGUACAGAGAUGACAUAAAGGGAAAAACAGAGUAUGGGAGGAGGAAUGAUGUGCUGAGAUCUGAGAUGGGAAUGAAUGGUUGGCCAGGGGCAGAUGGAGAGUUAUAUUGGUGCACAAGCCCAGUACAAAAUAGAGACCUACUGUUUGAUACUGACAAUAUGAUGUUUAAUGAGGAAUACUGCCCACAGAGCAGGUGAAGUAAUCUUGUGGCUCAGCUAAGUUUUGGUAAAUCCUAGGACAAAACAUCUGGUUGGGACUACUCUCCAAUCAGCAGCCUGAAGAGACUGCAGGCAGUAUGGCAAAAAGUUCAGCAGCGUGUCAUAGGCAUCUGCCACAUGAUCAGAGAUCCUGGAACCUGUCUUCAUAACCUAUAAAGACAGAACUCCUCAGACAGAACAUGUAAAAUGCUUUUGUACGGGAGGGAAUAUUUUGUUUGUUGAGUUCAUGCUGUGUAGGGCAAGAAAUGAUGUGUUUAAACUGCAUGAAGAUUGAUUAAAAGUGAAACAGUAAGUAAAAUACUGGCAAAGAACGAGGAAAUCAUUAGAAUGGAUUGCCUGGGAAGGCGGUGGAGUAUCGAUUACGGCCUGUGUUUAAGGAAAGUUUGGGUGUGUGUCUGUCAGGAGCAGUUAGCUGUGAUUAACUCUGCGGUAAACAGGGUUCUCUGGUUGCCAAGACCCCUCCUAGCCUUGUUUUCUGCGAUGCUGUUCCUUAUCUUCUAUCACUGUG
Long non-coding RNA from Lagopus muta (rock ptarmigan), 5540 nucleotides. RefSeq lists it as uncharacterized. The transcript is spliced from 3 exons. NCBI's taxonomy places the organism in Eukaryota, Metazoa, Chordata, Aves, Galliformes, Phasianidae. The record is from RefSeq and is a predicted model, not a curated record.